Molecule: long non-coding RNA, 1357 nt
Organism: Lolium perenne
Lineage: Eukaryota; Viridiplantae; Streptophyta; Magnoliopsida; Poales; Poaceae
Source: RefSeq, a predicted model, not a curated record
UUGUCGUCUUCUUUGCGAGCACGCGCCUCGCGUGAGUCCUUCCUUCCACCUGCUCCUUUUCCCUCUGCUUUAUCUUUCCUCCUGGAGCCAGCAACACGACGCAGUUCCUAGCCACUCCGUCUGGUUUCCUUUUCCCCUCCUCCACGAAAGAAAAACCAGAGAAGAAAAAGAAACCAUGGAAACCAUGGCUGCCUCGUCGCCUCGCCGUUCCGUUCGUCCCCGACCCUUCUCGAGGACGCCACGAGUUCCCCUUGAACGCCUGCUUCCUCUCCGCGCAAGGAAUUGAAUCGGGAGGCCUCCAGUCAAGCCCAAGAUCGCCAAUUCCCCGCGCCGGCGGCCGCAGUCCAUCGAUGUUCCCGCCGCUGUACGACCUCCUCCGGCACAUCCGAGAGCAGUUCGCGUUCUUGGUGUCCGUCUCCGGCGACGCUCUGGUGUUCCCCGCUCCCAGUACCGCCCCCAUCAGGUUCAGCGCAUCCAGGCGCAUCCCCUGCGACCACUCACUCCUCCUGGUUCGCUCCCAGCGAUCGAAUCCGUCCGCGACCAGCAGCUCUGUCCGUGUACGCCAUGGUUCCAAACCUCCAACUUUAUUCAGUUUCGUCAGUCUUGCUACACUGUCCAGAAAACCUUUUAAUCGUCGUGCGUCUCCAUCUGUUCAAUACCUGAGCCGUAGCCAGACUGCUUGAUCACACGGCAAGAGAUGUUUCAAUUUGCAUAGAGCCUUUCCAAGAUCGACAUCAGCUAGCAGCUUAGCUGUUUCGUUUGCUAUGUCUCCGAACGACAGGUCAUGUGCUCAAUUCUAGGGGAAGCAAUACAACGUCUUCCCUGUUUCUUCUUUUUGCAGAUAUGUCAAAAUUCAUACAUCUUGUUUUAUAAAUCCAAAUGACACAAAUAAUAUAUCUAUUUUUAUCAGAAAAAUGAGAGGAACAUGAAUAUGCCAUCCAUGAUUGCUGUUGCAUCUUGCAUCAUAUAAUUUCAUGCUAGUUUACAUUAUCACCUAAUAGAUAACAUAUGGAAUAUGUGGGAUACUAUAUAAAUGUUGUCCCGGUUCCAUUUAACUUUGUUGUAGCUCACCCCUGCCAUGUUGCUAUGCUAAUCCACCCUUAACUUUGACGGUAGAAAUGGAACUCCAAUCUUAAUUGUUUGUCCGGGGUUCCGACUCCGCUUAAUCUGGAAAAGUGCAUUGCAUCAUCGUUGCCAUGUCAUGCAUAUUAUUUUGAUCAUGCUGGAUCUUCUUCCGUAGUAGUAAGACUUGCAUCCGUUGUGUUUUUCCAACAUUGCUUCUUCCCGGAUAGGAUCACGAAGUGUUGACGUGAGAUACGACGAGUUCUCCGACAAGUUCUUCUGCAGCUUUUCACAG